UGGGGAAUUUUGGACAAUGGGCGCAAGCCUGAUCCAGCCAUGCCGCGUGUGUGAAGAAGGCCUUCGGGUUGUAAAGCACUUUUAUCAGGAGCGAAACUACUGUCGGCUAAUACCCGGCGGAACUGACGGUACCUGAGGAAUAAGCACCGGCUAACUUCGUGCCAGCAGCCGCGGGAAUACGAAGGGUGCAAGCGUUAAUCGGAAUUACUGGGCGUAAAGGGCGCGUAGGCGGCCUGUUAAGUCGAACGUGAAAUCCCCGGGCUCAACCCGGGAACUGCGUCCGAUACUGGCAGGCUUGAAUCCGGGAGAGGGAUGCGGAAUUCCAGGUGUAGCGGUGAAAUGCGUAGAUAUCUGGAGGAACACCGGUGGCGAAGGCGGCAUCCUGGACCGGCAUUGACGCUGAGGCGCGAAAGCCAGGGGAGCAAA
This 426-nucleotide ribosomal RNA is filed under the name uncultured bacterium. Its description in RNAcentral is "bacterial SSU rRNA". It matches the Rfam family "Bacterial small subunit ribosomal RNA", at positions 355 to 772 of the family's 1533-position model. The record is from RNAcentral.